GAUGAAGAACGCAGCGAAAUGCGAUAAGUAGUGUGAAUUGCAGAAUUCAGUGAAUCAUCGAAUCUUUGAACGCACAUUGCGCCCCAUGGUAUUCCGUGGGGCAUGCCUGUUCGACCGUCAUUUACCCCCUCAAGCUCCGCUUGGUGUUGGGCGUCUGUCCCGCUUCGCGCGCGGACUCGCCCCAAAGGUAUUGGCAGCGGUCGUGCCAGCUUCUCGCGCAGCACAUUGCGCUUCUCGAGGCACCGGUGGGCCCGCGUCCAUCAAGCUCACCCCCCCAGUUUGACCUCGGAUCAGGUAGGGAUACCCGCUGAACUUAAGCAUAUCAAUAAGCGGAGGA
RNAcentral lists this unclassified non-coding RNA (337 nucleotides) under soil metagenome. RNAcentral describes it as "partial contains 5.8S ribosomal RNA, internal transcribed spacer 2, and large subunit ribosomal RNA". The stretch from base 1 to 120 matches the Rfam family "5.8S ribosomal RNA", at positions 35 to 154 of the family's 154-position model. The record is from RNAcentral.